GACGAACGCUGGCGGCGUGCUUAACACAUGCAAGUCGAACGGAAAGGCCCUGCUUUUGUGGGGUGCUCGAGUGGCGAACGGGUGAGUAACACGUGAGUAACCUGCCCUUGACUUUGGGAUAACUUCAGGAAACUGGGGCUAAUACCGGAUAGGAGCUCCUGCUGCAUGGUGGGGGUUGGAAAGUUUCGGCGGUUGGGGAUGGACUCGCGGCUUAUCAGCUUGUUGGUGGGGUAGUGGCUUACCAAGGCUUUGACGGGUAGCCGGCCUGAGAGGGUGACCGGCCACAUUGGGACUGAGAUACGGCCCAGACUCCUACGGGAGGCAGCAGUGGGGAAUAUUGCACAAUGGGCGGAAGCCUGAUGCAGCAACGCCGCGUGCGGGAUGACGGCCUUCGGGUUGUAAACCGCUUUCGCCUGUGACGAAGCGUGAGUGACGGUAAUGGGUAAAGAAGCACCGGCUAACUACGUGCCAGCAGCCGCGGUGAUACGUAGGGUGCGAGCGUUGUCCGGAUUUAUUGGGCGUAAAGGGCUCGCAGGUGGUUGAUCGCGUCGGAAGUGUAAUCUUGGGGCUUAACCCUGAGCGUGCUUUCGAUACGGGUUGACUUGAGGAAGGUAGGGGAGAAUGGAAUUCCUGGUGGAGCGGUGGAAUGCGCAGAUAUCAGGAGGAACACCAGUGGCGAAGGCGGUUCUCUGGGCCUUUCCUGACGCUGAGGAGCGAAAGCGUGGGGAGCGAACAGGCUUAGAUACCCUGGUAGUCCACGCUGUAAACGGUGGGUACUAGGUGUGGGGUCCAUUCCACGGGUUCCGUGCCGUAGCUAACGCUUUAAGUACCCCGCCUGGGGAGUACGGCCGCAAGGCUAAAACUCAAAGGAAUUGACGGGGCCCCGCACAAGCGGCGGAGCAUGCGGAUUAAUUCGAUGCAACGCGUAGAACCUUACCUGGGUUUGACAUGGAUCGGGAGUGCUCAGAGAUGGGUGUGCCUCUUUUGGGGUCGGUUCACAGGUGGUGCAUGGCUGUCGUCAGCUCGUGUCGUGAGAUGUUGGGUUAAGUCCCGCAACGAGCGCAACCCUUGUUCACUGUUGCCAGCACGUUAUGGUGGGGACUCAGUGGAGACCGCCGGGGUCAACUCGGAGGAAGGUGGGGAUGACGUCAAGUCAUCAUGCCCCUUAUGUCCAGGGCUUCACGCAUGCUACAAUGGCUGGUACAGAGAGUGGCGAGCCUGUGAGGGUGAGCGAAUCUCGGAAAGCCGGUCUCAGUUCGGAUUGGGGUCUGCAACUCGACCUCAUGAAGUCGGAGUCGCUAGUAAUCGCAGAUCAGCAACGCUGCGGUGAAUACGUUCCCGGG
This 1343-nucleotide ribosomal RNA is filed under the name uncultured bacterium. RNAcentral's name for it is "16S ribosomal RNA". It matches the Rfam family "Bacterial small subunit ribosomal RNA", at positions 28 to 1378 of the family's 1533-position model. The record is from RNAcentral.